GCGGGGUGAGCUUGACACGUGGACUAGGAUAGCAUGAGGAUUGGGUCUUAUGACAUAGAAUCCUAUAGCGGCAUAAAGAGCCGAACUUGGACAUAGCCUAGUAGAGUGGCAUUGAAUUAGUGUGGUAGAAGCACUAUGACAUGAACUAGUGGCAUGUAGAAUAAUUGAGACAUUUACUACAAUGACUGAACGAGUGGCAU
RNAcentral lists this long non-coding RNA (200 nucleotides) under Ananas comosus (pineapple). RNAcentral's name for it is "long non-coding RNA (ACOM_LNC039112)". Lineage: Eukaryota; Viridiplantae; Streptophyta; Magnoliopsida; Poales; Bromeliaceae. The record is from RNAcentral.